Molecule: long non-coding RNA, 2955 nt
Filed under: Homo sapiens (human)
Lineage: Eukaryota; Metazoa; Chordata; Mammalia; Primates; Hominidae
Description: HSALNT0272386
Source: RNAcentral
GGCUUUUACUCUCUCUCUGGGCGUGAGUGAGCCUGGGUGUCAGCCGCAGGUGCAAACCGCAAGCUGUAUGUACAGCCUUAAGUAGAGUAAUUACACCUUUACAGACAAUAGUGGCUGUGAGCCAAGUACGAGCUCAGAUGAGUGAUCACCUAAUGCACCUCACGUGGCAUGGUUAUAUAACAAGCAGAGUUGUGCGCCUGCAUUCCAAACCCUGCUAAGUCAUGCUGCACCAGGCAGCCACCUCAGACUACUACUGAGUAAAGCACAGCCAUUUCCUUCACAGUGCUGGAGGAAGGGAGGUGCAGCUUUGGCUCAGCUCUUAACAGUGCAACAUCUAGUGCCUCUAUAGUUCUCUUGGACACAGAUGGCUGCUUUCGAAGAAGAAAGAAGUGGAAAGUGAUGGAGUUUCUAUGCUCCAGCUCUCUUUGCCUGCUGCCAUCCACGUAAGAUGUGACUUGCUCCUCUUUGCCUUCUGCCAUAAUUGUGAGCCCCCCUCAGCCAUGUGGAAUGAUGGAAAACAGAACAAGCCAUGGAGGCCCCAGGGAUCAGGCAGGGCCAAGAGGAUCUGAUGGCGGAAGGGGGAGCACAUCAACAAGACCUUACAAGGCAACUUGCAUGGAUGCUCUGAAGCAACUUUGAGGUCUCCUUGAUGAGGAAAGUUGGCUCAACCUGCUGUAGAGGCCCACAGCCAAGCCAUUGAGAGACAAGUCCAUGGGAGACAAAUUAGCUCAUGCAGCUGAGAUGUCCUGGAGAUUUUCCACAGCACCACUUGGCCAGUGCCUAGACAAGGCUUCCGAGGCGAUCCGGCAACAUCAGUCUUCAGCCGCUAAGCCAAGAAGAUCUGGGAAGGAGUCAAUCAGAGAGCCUUGGGCCAGAGUUCCAGGGGCUGUGGAAGUGGCUGCCAGGUGAGUUGAACAGUCCGAUUUUCAGUGGGGUCCUACACAGAUGGGACACAGCUUAGGAGGAAUCCUGGGCUGUGGGCAUUCCUUGGCCUAGUGGCCAGAUUUCUGGCACUUGUAGCAAGCUCCUGGGGGAGGAGGUUCUGGAGGAACCCCUGGCAGCUGCGGUUUGGGCGUUUGGAGUUCUUGUGUGCUGGAGAUGUGGCUGGGGUUUGUCUCACAGUGGAGGCAAGAAAUUGCAACUCAGAAAUACAUUGCUACUUGGCUGCCUCUACUCUAUUAUUGUAUAACUUGAAGGUGAGGUUAAUUAAGUCCUGUUGUGAGGUUUGAGGGCCGGAAUUUAAUUUUUGGAGUUUUAUUUAAUGUCAGGAGCGGAUUGGGUAAUAAAAUGUAUAUUGAGAAUAAGACGGCCUUUUGACAUUUUAGGGUCUUGGGCUGUAAAGCGUCUCAGGGUUGCUGCCGAACGAGCCAUGAACUGGGCUGGGUUUUUCAUAUUUGAUGAAAGAGCCUAAAUGCUAACUGAUUUGGGAGAGGUCGGAUAAAGAAAAAGAAGCAUUAACCUUGACUAUGCCUUUAGCUCCAGCCUCCUUUUUAAGAGGAAAUUGCUGGUCAGGUGGAGGAGGGCUAGUCGCGUCGCGGAACGAAACUAUAAGCCGGACUGGGUGUGAGGAGGGGAGGUGAUAAAAGGAUUAUAGGGUGGGGGAGCAGAGGCUGAGGAAGAAUUGGGACCUGGCUUGACCUGGCUUGGCCUGGCGAGGAGCAGCCUGGGGAGGAGGAGAGAGGUCAGAUGGGUCUGUAGAAAAGGAAGAUUAGAAAGACUCAGCGACGCUUGGGGUUGGGACUGAGAGGACAGGCGGGAGGGAAAGAAGGAGGAUUUGGGAUGAGUCACAUUGGGAACAGAGAGUACGGAGAGAACAAUGUGUAAAAGAAUGCCUGGACGUCAGGCACCUCAGACCAUUUGCCCAUUUUACGACAAGAAUUAUCGAGAUCUUGUGGGAUGGAAAAAUCGAAAGUGCCGUUCUGUGGCUAUUUUAGAGCCUUUGUCAAGUUUGUAUUGGGGCCAAGCGGUGUUGCAGAAUAAAAUAAGAUGCUUAGAUUUUAGGUCAGGCGAGAGUUGAAGAGGUUUUAAGUUCUUAAGAACACAGGCUAAGAGAGAAGAAGGAGGAAUGGAGGGUGGAAGGUUGCCCAUAGUGAAGGAGGCAAGUUUAAAGAGAAGGGUAGAGACACGGAGAAGGGGGUGGGGAGCAGCCCUGGGCUGCAACGUGGGUGAGCAGCCAAAGCAGGCGUCCUUGCAAUUGACUUGCCACCAAGGGAACAUGGGCGAAUGAUCAAGGAAGGCACCCCUGCGGAGAUCAGACACCAGUGGAACGUGGGUGAAUAAUCCAAGAGGCAUCUCGGCGAUGAUUAAACACCAAGGUAAGGCUGUCUUCCCGAGUCCGUGACCGGCGCCGGAGUUUUGGGUCCACAGAUAAAAUGUGUCUCCUUUGUCUCUACCCGAAAAUGAAAGGAACUGAAAUUAACAGAAGGGAGAGAUUGAAGUGUGGCGCCAAGCUUGAAAGGAGAAAGAGGUUGAGGGAUAGUGAGGGAGGUUGGAGAAGAGAGUAAAAAGAGGCCGCUUACUGGAUUUGAAAUUGGUGAGAUGUUCCUUGGGCUGGUCAGUCUGAGGACCUGAGGUUGUAGGUGGAUCUUUCUCAUGGAGCAAAGAGUAGGACAGGGGAUUGAUCUCCCAAGGGAGGUCCCCUGAUCCCAGUCACGGCACCAAAUUUCACUCGCGUCCGUGUGAAGAGACCACCAAACAGGAUUUGUGUGAGCAACAAGGCUGUUUAUUUCACCUGGAUGCAGGCGGGCUGAGUCUGAAAAGAGAGUCAGUGAAGGGAGAUAGGGGUGGUGCCGUUUUAUAGGAUUUGGGUAGGUAAAGGAAAAUUAGUCAAAGGGGGUUGUUCUCUGGCUGGCAGGAGUGGGAGGUCACAAGGUGCUCAGUAGGGGAGCUUUUGAGCCAGGAUGAGCCAGGAGAAGGAAUUUCACAAGAUAAUGUCAUCAGUUAAGGCAGGAACAG